AUUGAACGCUGGCGGCAGGCCUAACACAUGCAAGUCGAGCGAGUGGCGGACGGGUGAGUAAUGUAUGGGGACUGCCCGAUAGAGGGGGAUAACUACUGGAAACGGUGGCUAAUACCGCAUACUAUCGGAUAACCCAUAUGGGAUUAGCUAGUAGGUGGGGUAAAGGCUCACCUAGGCGACGAUCUCUAGCUGGUCUGAGAGGAUGAUCAGCCACACUGGGAAUGAGACACGGCCCCGACUCCUACGGAGGCAGCAGUGGGGAAUAUUGGACAAUGGGCGAAAGUCUGACGGAGCCAUGCCGCGUGUAUGAAGAAGGCCUUAGGGUUGUAAAGUACUGUCAGCAGGGAGGCGUUACCCGAAGAAAAAGCACCGGCUAACUACGUGCCAGCAGCCGCGGUAAUAC
RNAcentral lists this ribosomal RNA (403 nucleotides) under uncultured bacterium. Its description in RNAcentral is "partial 16S ribosomal RNA". It matches the Rfam family "Bacterial small subunit ribosomal RNA", at positions 30 to 526 of the family's 1533-position model. The record is from RNAcentral.